UACGUAGGGUGCGAGCGUUGUCCGGAAUUAUUGGGCGUAAAGGGCUCGUAGGCGGUUUGUCGCGUCGGGAGUGAAAACACCGGGCUUAACUCGGUGCUUGCUUUCGAUACGGGCAGACUAGAGGUAUGCAGGGGAGAACGGAAUUCCUGGUGUAGCGGUGAAAUGCGCAGAUAUCAGGAGGAACACCGGUGGCGAAGGCGGUUCUCUGGGCAUUACCUGACGCUGAGGAGCGAAAGCUAGGGUAGCAAACGGG
RNAcentral lists this ribosomal RNA (253 nucleotides) under uncultured bacterium. RNAcentral's name for it is "partial 16S ribosomal RNA". It matches the Rfam family "Bacterial small subunit ribosomal RNA", at positions 524 to 776 of the family's 1533-position model. The record is from RNAcentral.